RNAcentral lists this long non-coding RNA (380 nucleotides) under Ananas comosus (pineapple). RNAcentral's name for it is "long non-coding RNA (ACOM_LNC041315)". The record is from RNAcentral. Lineage: Eukaryota; Viridiplantae; Streptophyta; Magnoliopsida; Poales; Bromeliaceae.
CUCAUUAAUACCUUAACUUCGAUUAUUUUUUAGGAAAAACUUUAACCCGUGUGGUUUCGCACUUUCUCAAAUUCUAGUACUCUGUGGUUUAAAGUGUAUCAAUUUAGUGCCCUACAGUUUCAUUUUUCUUUUUUAUUAUCAAUUCCAUUAAUUUUUUUUAUUUAAGUCAGUGGCAAAGUUAAAACUAAAGGUACUAAAGUGAAUAUUUAAUAACUGAAAUUUUUUUGUACAUAAUUUAACGAAAUAUUAACGAAAAAGCCAACGAAAAGAAAAAAAUGAAAUUGCAGGAUACUAAAUUAAUAUACUUUAAAUCACAAAGGUGGUAUUUGAAGUUUACCCUAUUUUUUUUUGUAAAACCAGUUUUUAAUAUUUAAUUUAGG